AGAACGAACGCUGGCGACAGGCUUAACACAUGCAAGUCGAACGCGUGUAGCAAUACACGAGUGGCGCACGGGUGAGUAACGCGUGGAUAUCUGCCUUUUGGUUCGGAAUAACCCCGGGAAACUGGGGCUAAUACCGGAUGGUUCCUUCGGGAUAAAGAUUUAUCGCCAAAAGAUGAGUCCGCGUACGAUUAGCUAGUUGGUGAGGUAAUGGCUCACCAAGGCGACGAUCGUUAGCUGGUCUGAGAGGACGAUCAGCCACACUGGGACUGAGACACGGCCCAGACUCCUACGGGAGGCAGCAGUGGGGAAUAUUGGACAAUGGGGGCAACCCUGAUCCAGCCAUGCCGCGUGAGUGAUGAAGGCCUUCGGGUUGUAAAGCUCUUUUGGCGGGGACGAUGAUGACGGUACCGCAGAAUAAGCCCCGGCUAACUCGCGCCAGCAGCCGC
Molecule: ribosomal RNA, 446 nt
Filed under: uncultured bacterium
Lineage: Bacteria
Description: SSU rRNA
Rfam family: Bacterial small subunit ribosomal RNA
Source: RNAcentral